AUUGAACGCUGGCGGCAUGCCUAAUACAUGCAAGUCGAGCGAACGAACGGGAAGCUCUCCUCGCUGCUGUUGCCGACGGACGGGUGAGUACCACGUAGAUACCCUACCUAUGAGACUGAGGUCAGUUAGCGAGACCUGAUCUAAUACCGGAUCUUAUUUUGAACCGCAGGGUUCUUAAGUCCAAGACGGUCUUGCUGUCACUUAUAGGUAUAUCCGCGUUGCAUUAGCUAGUUGGUAAGGUAACGGCCUACCAAGGCUACGAUGCAUAGCCGACCUGAGAGGGUGAUCAGCCACACUGGAACUGAGACACGGUCCAGACUCCUACGGGAGGCAGCAGUGGGGAAUCUUCCGCAAUGGGCGAAAGCCUGACGCAGCCACGCCGCGUGAGUGAUGAAGGUCUUCGGAUCGUAAAGCUCUGUUAGUAGGGAAGAAGAUAAGUAUAAGUAACUGUGGACGUCUUGACGGUACCUAAAGAGAAAGCCACGGCUAACUUCGUG
Molecule: ribosomal RNA, 497 nt
Filed under: uncultured bacterium
Lineage: Bacteria
Description: partial 16S ribosomal RNA
Rfam family: Bacterial small subunit ribosomal RNA
Source: RNAcentral